RNAcentral lists this ribosomal RNA (439 nucleotides) under uncultured bacterium. RNAcentral describes it as "partial 16S ribosomal RNA". It matches the Rfam family "Bacterial small subunit ribosomal RNA", at positions 339 to 795 of the family's 1533-position model. The record is from RNAcentral.
CUACGGGGGGCAGCAGUGGGGAAUAUUGGACAAUGGGCGCAAGCCUGAUCCAGCAAUGCCGCGUGAGUGAAGACGGCCUUAGGGUUGUAAAACUCUUUCGCUAGGGAAGAUAAUGACUGUACCUAGUAAAGAAGUCCCGGCUAACUCCGUGCCAGCAGCCGCGGUAAUACGGAGGGGACUAGCGUUGUUCGGAAUUACUGGGCGUAAAGAGUUCGUAGGCGGACUGACAAGUUAGAGGUGAAAUCCCAGGGCUCAACCCUGGAACUGCCUUUAAAACUGUCAGUCUAGAGACCGGAAGAGGUUAGGGGAAUACCUAGUGUAGAGGUGAAAUUCGUAGAUAUUAGGUGGAACACCAGUGGCGAAGGCGCCUAACUGGUCCGGUACUGACGCUGAGGUGCGAAAGUGUGGGGAGCAAACAGGAUUAGAUACCCUUGUAGUC